UUCGCGGUAGCUCAAUGGAUAGAGCAACGGCCUUCUAAGCCGUCGGUUGUAGGUUCGAAUCCUAUUCGCGAAACCA
RNAcentral lists this transfer RNA (76 nucleotides) under bacterium. Its description in RNAcentral is "tRNA-Arg". It matches the Rfam family "tRNA". Rfam says of the family: Transfer RNA (tRNA) molecules are approximately 80 nucleotides in length. Their secondary structure includes four short double-helical elements and three loops (D, anti-codon, and T loops). The record is from RNAcentral.